This 136-nucleotide non-coding RNA is filed under the name marine eukaryotic metagenome. The record is from RNAcentral.
ACUGGUGUAAGUCCAGUCUGAGUAAUCGUUAGGGAGCUCAGUAGCUAACCACUAAGUAUAGAAGAAAUUCUGUGCUUAAAGCGUGGGGAUAAAGUAGCCCGAAAGGGAGCGAGCAAGAGUGCGGGUUGUAACGUAA